This 581-nucleotide ribosomal RNA is filed under the name Microcharidius sp. 21 CA-2017. Its description in RNAcentral is "partial large subunit ribosomal RNA". The stretch from base 341 to 499 matches the Rfam family "Bacterial large subunit ribosomal RNA", at positions 2473 to 2632 of the family's 2925-position model. The record is from RNAcentral. Lineage: Eukaryota; Metazoa; Arthropoda; Insecta; Coleoptera; Carabidae.
UUAAAUGGCCGCAGUAAUUUGACUGUGCAAAGGUAGCAUAAUCAAUAGUUUUUUAAUUGAAAGCUUGUAUGAAAGGUUGGACGAAAUAAUAUCUGUCUUUAUUUAAUAAUUAUUAAAAUUUAAUUUUUAAGUUAAAAAGCUUAAAUAAUUAUAAAAGACGAGAAGACCCUAUAAAGCUUUAUAAAUUUUAAUUUAUAAAUAUUUUAGAUUUUUUAUUUUUAUAAUUUUAAAUUUAUUUUAUUGGGGUAAUAGAAAGAUUUAAUUAAUUCUUUUUUUUUAUUUUAUUUAUUUAUAUUUUAAUGAUCCAUUAUUAUUGAUUAUAAGAUUAAGUUACUUUAGGGAUAACAGCGUAAUUUUUUUAGAGAGUUCAUAUUGAUAAAAAAGUUUGCGACCUCGAUGUUGGAUUAAAGAUUAAUUUAGGUGCAAAAGUUUAAAUUUUUGGUCUGUUCGACCAUUAAAUCUUUACAUGAUCUGAGUUCAGACCGGUUUAAGCCAGGUCGGUUUCUAUCUUUAUUAUAUUAAAAUAUUUUAGUACGAAAGGACCAAAUAUUAAUUAUAUUAAUUAUGAUUUGAAUAAUAAU